UAAAACAGAGCUUGUCCUUUUGCAUUAUAAAACAAUCAAACAUUGUUUAUUUCAUCCAAAUGAGAAAAUAUGACUAAAUUUUUCAAAUUUGUUAAUGUUAUAAUCCUCAUUUUUUCCUUAUUACUUGUUGGAUGCAAUGGUAAUAAUUCCUUUCUCACAUCUUUUUUAAAUUUCCUUUUUACCUUAGACUCAUCUUUCAACUUCUUUUUCUAACAUUACUUUUAUUCUUGUUUUAAUUAAUAUCGCAGCAUUUUAUUUUUGUACUACUUCCCUAGCUUGUCCAAGGAAAUUGUGCACCUUUCCUGAAGUUCCCAAGUGCAAAUGGUUCAUUUGUUCAUGCAUGGAUGAUGAAUAUCGGUUAAGUUUAAUUAAUUUUUUUUUUUUUAACAAAAGCUUAAAAGUUAUUACUUUAAAUUUUGAAGCCUAUAUAUAAUUUUAUAUGCAUGUCAUAAAGUUAGGAUCCAUAUGAUUUAUUUCAUACUUCAUAUUCAAUAUUUUAUAUUUCUUUAGUACCUUUCAAUUUUUUACAAGCUUAGAAGUGUGUGACCUCUUUUUUUUCCCUUAGAAUAUGUAGAAAACAAGAACAUCAUUUUAAUUAAUAUAAUAUUUUCUAGUAAAAAAUAAACAAAAAUAUAUUUAUAUAUUUCUUUGGUCUUUUGACCUUUUUUUUAAUAUAAUAUUUGCCAUUAAAAAAAAGGAACAUCAUUACAUGAUUAUAAAUUUAAUAUACUUUUGCAUUUAGCAUAAAAAUAUUGUUUGUUAUAGAUUUUUAAAAUAAUCAAAAGCUAAAUAUAAUUAGAAAAUGACUAAAAAUGAGAAGCUGUUAUGAGUAGCUUCUCAAAUAAUAGUUUUUUUUUUAGAGAAAAGAGAAAAAAAAUGUUAAAAGAAGAAAGUUAUUUUGUAAUUAAAAAAAUCACUUAUACAUAUUGUAUCCAAACAAACUAAAGAUUAUUUUAUUUAAAAAAGUGAUUUUAUUAUAACAAAUACAACGUAAAUUCUACUUUUCUAUAAAAUCUCCAAAAACUAAUCUCUAAAUUAUUUAACAUCAAAAUCAAGAAGUAUGCACAAUAAUUAAGCUAUGCAUGGGGUGGUAUUUAGCAAAAGACAGAAAAAAAUGUAGAUAUUUAAGAUGCAAUGGGGUAAAAAUAGCUCUCUAACCACAAUUUGCCUAGCGUGGAGUUACUAAAUUACUAUUUUGAGCUUAAAUUUUGUAUAGGAAUAAAAAUUAAAUAAAAUAAAUGGUAGUGAUUUUGUGUUUGAUUCUGCAGUUUUUAAAUGUGAAGCUCAAAAAAAUGUGAAGCUCUAGUUUUUGUAUACCAAUGAGAUGGAUAGGACAAGAGCUAGCUUGGUUCAAAUCAUGAAGAUCUAAAUCAAGGAUUAAUGAUGAUUUAUUUCGAUGUAAAUUUUUAUACAUUUCUCUUUCUUUUUUUUUUUAAUGUUUGUUAAAUACUCCAAUCAAGAACAAGAACUGGUCUCCUUCCUACAAAAAAAAAAUAAAAAAAGAACUGGCCUGAAUC
Molecule: long non-coding RNA, 1517 nt
Filed under: Trifolium pratense (red clover)
Lineage: Eukaryota; Viridiplantae; Streptophyta; Magnoliopsida; Fabales; Fabaceae
Description: long non-coding RNA (TPRA_LNC000387)
Source: RNAcentral